RNAcentral lists this ribosomal RNA (230 nucleotides) under uncultured bacterium. RNAcentral's name for it is "partial 16S ribosomal RNA". It matches the Rfam family "Bacterial small subunit ribosomal RNA", at positions 561 to 791 of the family's 1533-position model. The record is from RNAcentral.
UAAAGCGUGCGCAGGCGGUUUGUAAGACUGUCGUGAAAUCCCCGGGCUCAACCUGGGAAUGGCGAUGGUGACUGCAAGGCUAGAGUUUGGCAGAGGGGGGUAGAAUUCCACGUGUAGCAGUGAAAUGCGUAGAUAUGUGGAGGAACACCGAUGGCGAAGGCAGCCCCCUGGGUCAAAACUGACGCUCAUGCACGAAAGCGUGGGGAGCAAACAGGAUUAGAUACCCGGGU